CCAAUAGCGUAUAUUAAAGUUGUUGCAGUUAAAAGCUCGUAGUUGAACUUCAGGCCUGGCUGGAUGGUCCGCCUUCUGGGUGAGUACUGUCUGUGGUCGGGUCCUACCUUCUGGCGAAGCGUCAUGGCCUUAACCGGCCGUGGCGGGGAGCCAGGACUUUUACUGUGAAAAAAUUAGAGUGUUCAAAGCAGGCUCGCGCUUGAAUACAUUAGCAUGGAAUAAUGAAAUAGGACGUUUGAUCCUAUUUUGUUGGUUUCUAGGAUUGACGUAAUGAUUAAUAGGGAUAGUUGGGGGCAUUAGUAUUCAAUUGUCAGAGGUGAAAUUCUUGGAUUUAUUGAAGACUAACUACUGCGAAAGCAUUUGCCAAGGAUGUUUUCAUUAAUCAAGAACGAAAGUUAGGGGAUCGAAGACGAUCAGAUACCGUCGUAGUCUUAACCAUAAACUAUGCCGACUAGGGAUCGGAUGAUGUUAAUUUUUUAAUGACUCAUUCGGCGCCUUACG
RNAcentral lists this ribosomal RNA (501 nucleotides) under uncultured Paraglomus. RNAcentral describes it as "SSU rRNA". It matches the Rfam family "Eukaryotic small subunit ribosomal RNA", at positions 591 to 1092 of the family's 1831-position model. Lineage: Eukaryota; Fungi; Glomeromycota; Glomeromycetes; Paraglomerales; Paraglomeraceae. The record is from RNAcentral.